RNAcentral lists this small RNA (297 nucleotides) under Arabidopsis thaliana (thale cress). RNAcentral describes it as "ATSL202240". Lineage: Eukaryota; Viridiplantae; Streptophyta; Magnoliopsida; Brassicales; Brassicaceae. The record is from RNAcentral.
AGAAGUGCAAUCAAGCUAUCUUUAGACAACAGGUUCAACAACAGAUCAAUUCACUCCCGUGAUAGAAAACCUCAAGCAAAGCUAGCGCAGACUAAUUCCCAUUAACGGAAUCUAACUAUGCAGGCAAUAAGAACAAACUGAUAAAGUCAAUAAACGCUCUAAACGGCCAAUCCCUUCGGAUAGAGACGAAUAUCUCAGGAACUAGUGGAUCAAGCAUUCCAUCGAACACCUUCUGGGUGCGGGAAUGCUUUGUCGAAUUUCAGUUGAUCAGAAAAAAAUAAGCAGUAAACACAACUA